RNAcentral lists this transfer RNA (75 nucleotides) under Betta simplex. Its description in RNAcentral is "tRNA-Lys". It matches the Rfam family "tRNA". Rfam says of the family: Transfer RNA (tRNA) molecules are approximately 80 nucleotides in length. Their secondary structure includes four short double-helical elements and three loops (D, anti-codon, and T loops). Lineage: Eukaryota; Metazoa; Chordata; Actinopteri; Anabantiformes; Osphronemidae. The record is from RNAcentral.
CACUAAGAAGCUUUGACGGUCUUAAGCGUUAGCCUUUUAAGCUGAAUUUUGGUGACUACCGCCCACCCUUAGUGA